GGUGGGGUCCCCUCCUCCUCCCCGCCUCCUCCUCCCGGCACGCAGCCCUGUGCCUUUUCUGCAAACCAAGACACAGCACUUUGAAAAUUCUUUCAAUGGAUUUUUUUUUUUCCCUCCUCCUUCUUCCUUGAAAGAUCGUACUGAGGGAAAAUGAUACUUCUAUUAGUUACAUAUUCUCCAAUCGCACACUCGCAUCUUUCCCCCCCACCCCACCACCUCCUCGUUCUGCGAUCGCUCCCCUAGGCAGGCUCAGGCGGGCGCGCAGCGGCGCCGAGGGGCAAAGGGGGGUGCGGAGCUGCGCGCCUGCCUGCCGCCCCUCGACUCUGGAGAGCGUCAAAGUUGUCUCAGCUCCAGCACCCCCGAGCCUCCACACGCCCUCAGGUGAAGGUGGGAGUAAAAAAAAAGGCCACGCUGUUAUUGCCGGAGAGUACAAAGGCAGGCUGUCGAGGGCAGAGGAAGCAGGCAGAGAGGGAGACCGGGAGAAGGAAAAGAGAACUUGGAAAGAGACGGAGCGAGUGCAAGAGGCAGCGCGAAGCGAGCGCCAGGGAACCGGAGGCUCCCCGCGCCUGGACGCCCUGCUCUCGGGCCCGGCCGCCCUCGGACCCAGGACCGGAAGUCUUGGGCGCCAGAAGCCAGAGCCGGCCCAUCUCUGCCGCACCAGGCAAGUUGGCGUGAUGGAUGGCUAUCUUUCAGAAAGGCUAAGGUUUGGAUUGGAGGCACCGACGGGAGGCCCUGGUCAAAUCGCGUGCAGGAGAGCGAGCGGCCAGGGCCCGCUGUGCCGAGGCGAUAAAUCACUGUCAUCAAAAGCAGUCCACUCUUUAGCCAGCACUUUUUUUUUUCAUUUUCGCAAAAGAUUACUUUAGAAAUCUUUUAAUUGGAUUAUGCCGGGAAAUUAAUCUCCUCUAGCCUUGGCUAAAUUUAUUGUGCCCACUGUCGGGAGGAAGGCCCUGUAACUGCAGCGAGGGCCACUUCCCCUUGCUCCCCAUCCCCUUUUCCUCCGCUCUCCAGGGUCUCCCAGCCGCGUGCGGCAGGACAGCCGCGUUCCAAGUCCCCAGGAGUGAGGAAGAGUGGAAAGGCACAUCACGGCGGGCCGUCUCUAGUGCACCUCCUUUGUCCUAAACGCCACGUUUCCGUCCAGGAUUCCCUAGCUCCAGCUCUAGCAUCUCCAUAGCACCGCGCUUUCCUCCACAAGGAGUCCUGGGGGCCCGCCACCAGGGAGAAAGGAGGCUGGAGUGGAGGGAAGAGGAAGUGGGGUGUGCCGGUGGAGGGUUGCCAGCCAAAGUCACUACUUUGCCCUCUUGCCACAACUCCGCUGUCCCGGUUUCGGGUCUCCGGCCCGGAAGCUGGGGCUUCGCUCACACUCUGCACUCUACUUUUCUGCGUAAAGACGCACGGUUAGCUCUUGGCGUUUUUCCUGGCGUAACUCGGGAGACACUUCCCCUUGACGGCUCAGCGGUUGAGGUCCGAGGGCCAGGGCCCUACCCCGUUCCCCGCGGCUCCUGGAGCGCCAGCGCAAUGUCGGGCGGGGACCUCCCUUCCAGCCCCUGGAAACCAGAGUCCGUAGCCUGGUUCAGCGCAGCUCCGGCGGCUGCGGAAGCUGCGGGUCUGGCCCGCCCGCCGCUUAUCUCCGCGGGAGAUGACAACAUCUGCCCGAAACGGGAUACCUACUUUUGCAGCUCAAUUUAGCUCUUAAUAGCAGCCCUCUGAGGUGUGGUUAAUUGACGGGGGAUGAAGGCAUAAUGACUGGACGGGGAGAUGCCAAUGAGCCUUUAAUAUACUUUUAAAAGAAACAACAACCACCCCCCAAACACCGGCGAGUCAUUGCCCGCUGGGAGGAUAAGACCCGGAUCUGGAGGCAGUAAGAGCGACGCCAGUGCUGUUUGUAUCUAGAGGCUCGCGGUGAGGGGUGAGUCCUACCCAGGACCCGCCAGGGCGCGCAGCUUCGGCUGGCAGGGUGUUGUCGCGUGGCCGCGGAGAGCGGAGCGUGGCGAGCACCCGGCAAGCUCGGGAUGACAGGUGACCCGACCUAGUGGCGAGGAGGAGAGGCCUGGGAAAUGGAGGACGCCGCCCCUCCCCGGGCGCGGCCCCUCGAUCAGCCCUUACCCUGCGCGGGGCUGGGUGCUCACAGAAGACUGGCGCUUCCUCUGCCC
Molecule: long non-coding RNA, 2150 nt
Filed under: Ovis aries (sheep)
Lineage: Eukaryota; Metazoa; Chordata; Mammalia; Artiodactyla; Bovidae
Description: lncRNA (ENSOARG00000025329.1)
Source: RNAcentral